CGUACCUAAAGUCGGGUAACCGCAAGGAGCCGCCGUAGGUAAACGUAGUAACUGGGCU
This 58-nucleotide ribosomal RNA is filed under the name uncultured bacterium. RNAcentral describes it as "partial 16S ribosomal RNA". The record is from RNAcentral.